GUUCUGAUAGCUCAGUAGGGAGAGCACCAUCUUGACAGGGUGGGGGUCGGCGGUUCGAGCCCGUCUCAGAACA
Paenibacillus dendritiformis C454 is the source of this 73-nucleotide non-coding RNA. The record is from Rfam. Lineage: Bacteria; Bacillati; Bacillota; Bacilli; Caryophanales; Paenibacillaceae.